Molecule: unclassified non-coding RNA, 21 nt
Filed under: Mus musculus (house mouse)
Lineage: Eukaryota; Metazoa; Chordata; Mammalia; Rodentia; Muridae
Description: oocyte_clustered_small_RNA10081
Source: RNAcentral
UCGGCACUGCCAGAUCUAACC